GCAAGAUACCACGGGCGCACGGCGGAUGCCUUGGCACAGGGAGCCGAUGAAGGACGCGGCAAGCUGCGAUAAUCCCCGGCGAGGAGCACACAUCCUUCGACCCGGGGGUCUCCGAAUGGGCGAACCCAUGCACAGCAGUGUGCAUAUCCCCGGCCCGAACACAUAGGGCCGGGGAGGACAACCCGGGGAACUGAAACAUCUAAGUACCCGGAGGAGAGGAAAUCAAUCUCGAGACUCCCCGAGUAGCGGCGAGCGAAAGGGGACCGAUGGCCAAACCGUCGAGCGGGCAUACCCGGCAGGGGUUCCGCCGACGGGGUUGCAGGGCCGCGCAUCCGGGGGCUGCCGCCCCCGGGCGCAGGUCCGGCUGGGGAGCGGAACGGCAUGGGAGGGCCGGCCGCAGCGGGUGACAGCCCCGUACGCGAACCCAGACCGGACGGCGCGACGCGGUCCCUGAGUAGGGCCGGGCACGUGAAACCCGGUCCGAACCUGGGUGGACCACCAUCCAAGCCUGAGUACUACCCUGUGACCGAUAGCGCACCAGUACCGUGAGGGAAAGGUGAAAAGCACCCCGGGAGGGGAGUGAAACAGUACCUGAAACCGUGCGCCCACGAGCAGUCGGAGCAACUUUUAGUUGUGACGGCGUGCCUUUUGUAGAAUGAGCCAGCGAGUCGCUGGCGCGGGGCGAGGUUAACCGAAAGGGAGCCGGAGCGAAAGCGAGCCUUAACAGGGCGACUUGAGUCCCGCGCCGCGGACGCGAAGCCGGGUGAGCUAUCCGUGGGCAGGCUGAAGCGGGGGUAAGACCCCGUGGAGGGCCGAACGCACGUCGGUUGAAAACGGCGGCGAUGACCUGCGGAUAGGGGUGAAAGGCCAAUCAAACCCGGAGAUAUCUCGUUCUCCCCGAAAUAGCUUUAGGGCUAGCGUCGCGCGUUCACCGCCGGAGGUAGAGCACCGGAUGGACGAGGGGGCUUCGCCGCCUACCGAAUCCAACCGAACUCCGAAUGCCGGCGGCCCAGAGCGCGGCAGUCAGAGCAUGUGGGCUAAGCUGUGUGCUCGAGAGGGAAACAGCCCGGACCGCCCGCUAAGGUCCCCAAGUUCCAGCCGAGUGGCAAAGGAUGUGCGUCCGCCCAGACAACCAGGAUGUUGGCUUAGAAGCAGCCAUCCAUUCAAAGAGUGCGUAACAGCUCACUGGUCGAGUGGACAUGCGCCGACAAUACACGGGGCUAAGCUGGACACCGAAGCGGCGGGAUUUUAAUUCAUUAGAAUCGGUAGGGGAGCUUCCCAUGGGCGGAGAAGCCGGAGGGCGACCGACGGUGGAGCGCAUGGGAGUGAGAAUGCUGGCAUGAGUAGCGAGAGACGAGAGAGUAACUCGUCCGCCGUGAACCCGAGGUUUCCUGGGCAAGGCUAAUCCUCCCAGGGUCAGUCGGGGGCUAAGGCGAGGCCGGGAGGCGUAGCCGACGCGCAGCAGGCAGACAUUCCUGCACCGCGCACGCGGCGCUACGACCGACGGGGCGACGGAUGGGGGUGGCUCGGCGGGGUUCUGGACGUCCCCGUGAUGGAGCGCGGCCCGCGGACCAGGGAAAUCCGGUCCGCAGAAGGGCGAGGCUCCGGACGAAGCACUUAAGCGAAGCGAGUGAGCCCGAGGUCCCUAGAAAAACCCCUAGGCAGGCGCGUGCGCGCCCGUACCGCAAACCGACACAGGUGGGUGGGUAGAACAUACCGAGGCGAUCGGGUCAACCAUGGUCAAGGAACUCGGCACAAUGGCCCCGUAACUUCGGGAGAAGGGGUGCCCGCGCGUACGUGAACGGACUUGCUCCGGGAGCGGAGGCGGGCCGCAGUGGAGAGGCCCAAGCGACUGUUUACCAAAAACACAGGACUCUGCAGAAGCCGCAAGGCGACGUAUAGGGUCUGACGCCUGCCCGGUGCCGGAAGGUCACGCGGAGGAGUUAGCCGAUUCGGCGAAGCCCCGAAGCCAAGCCCCGGUAAACGGCGGCCGUAACUAUAACGGUCCUAAGGUAGCGAAAUUCCUUGUCGGGUAAGUUCCGACCUGCACGAAUGG
This 2056-nucleotide ribosomal RNA is filed under the name human gut metagenome. RNAcentral's name for it is "bacterial LSU rRNA". It matches the Rfam family "Bacterial large subunit ribosomal RNA", at positions 1 to 1999 of the family's 2925-position model. The record is from RNAcentral.